RNAcentral lists this ribosomal RNA (330 nucleotides) under Terebratulina retusa. Its description in RNAcentral is "eukaryotic LSU rRNA". It matches the Rfam family "Eukaryotic large subunit ribosomal RNA", at positions 42 to 365 of the family's 3401-position model. The record is from RNAcentral. Lineage: Eukaryota; Metazoa; Brachiopoda; Rhynchonellata; Terebratulida; Cancellothyrididae.
AUCACUAAGCGGAGGAAAAGAAACUAACAAGGAUUCCCCUAGUAACGGCGAGUGGAGCGGGAAGAGCCCAGCACCGAAUUGCCCACCGCGUGGUGGUGCAAAGUGUGGUGUUAGGGACGGCCUUUGGGGCAGAGUACCGGUGCCCAAGUCCUCCUGAUCGGGGCUUCACCCAUGGCGGGUGUCAGGCCCUUACAGGCGCCGGUCUCAGUCGCUCUGGACGUCCUUGGAGUCGGGUUGUUUGAGAAUGCAGCCCAAAGUUGGUGGUAAACUCCAUCUAAGGCUAAAUACUGGCACGAGUCCGAUAGCGGACAAGUACCGUGAGGGAAAGUU